Molecule: ribosomal RNA, 369 nt
Filed under: uncultured bacterium
Lineage: Bacteria
Description: bacterial SSU rRNA
Rfam family: Bacterial small subunit ribosomal RNA
Source: RNAcentral
AUUGAACGCUGGCGGCAUGCCUUACACAUGCAAGUCGAACGGCAGCACGGGAGCAAUCCUGGUGGCGAGUGGCGAACGGGUGAGUAAUAUAUCGGAACGUGCCCAGUCGUGGGGGAUAACGUAGCGAAAGCUACGCUAAUACCGCAUACGAUCUAUGGAUGAAAGCGGGGGAUCGCAAGACCUCGCGCGAUUGGAGCGGCCGAUAUCAGAUUAGGGUAGUUGGUGGGGUAAAAGCCUACCAAGCCUUCGAUCUGUAGCUGGUCUGAGAGGACGGACCAGCCGACACUGGAACUGAGACACGGUCCAGACUCCUACGGAGGCAGCAGUGGGGAAUUUUGGGACAAUGGGCGCAAGCCUGAUCCAGCAAUG